This is a non-coding RNA of Acanthosepion pharaonis, 107 nucleotides long. The record is from the annotation of a GenBank genome assembly. Lineage: Eukaryota; Metazoa; Mollusca; Cephalopoda; Sepiida; Sepiidae.
CAUAGCACGUUGAAACACCGGUUCCCGUACGAUUAUCAAAGUUAAACAACAUCGAGCCUGGUCAAUACCUAAAUGGGCGACUGCUUGGUAAUAUCAGGUGUUGCAAU